UGCCCACGCCUGCCGAGCCGGUGGGCAUCUGAAAAUAGCAUGAUUAAUUGUUUCCUCCUCAGCCCCACACCGUACACACGCAGAAUCACAGGGAAUACCCCUCCGCCUAAAUUUCUUGUACACCUCCGUUUUCUGAAUCAAUUGGGCAACAACAAAAGACUGCAAGACCUGCUGAUUCUCGAGCUCUUCACCACCAUUAAAUCCGGUGAUAGUACCUUCUGGUGACGAUUUCACUUCACCCAAGCCCCAAGGUUACAUUUUCGUCUACCUAUCAAAUCCCUAAGCAAGAGUCUCUUCAGAUUCAUUGUGUCGAUGGGAUUAUAUAAUCGAGCAAUUAGUGAAGUAGGUGAGAAUUUUGGUGAAUCCUAUUUACCCGUUUCAUCUUCGAUUAAUUCAUGGGUAAGAGAUCUCGUUUUCGUCUUCUUUUUCAUUAAGUUUCAUGAGAUAACCCCAAGCAAGUAUAGAUCACUCAAGUAAUUUAAUUUGUAACAUAAAUUUUCCUUAAAAGAUGUGCUUUGGUUUUUGGCGAGUCUGGUCCUUCUUUUUGAUGAUUCUGUAGUUCAUGCAAAACUGAAAUUUGUUUCAUUAAUUAUUAUGCUCUUUUCUACUUGUUGAUUUCGUAGCUGCAUUGCCAUUUUGAAUUAUCAUUCGUAUCUAGUUCGGUUCAGGGACCAACAAUUACUAAUUUAUUAUUCCAUUUUGUUGGAGCUGUUGAGCUUUUGGUUUUGCAGAAAAUGAUAUGAGGCUUUUGAGACCUCACUCUCUUGGUACUAUGAGCUAAUCAUUUUCAAAGUCUUCCCAACAAAAAAAACAUCAGGAACUACAGGAUAACAUUUUGGAAACAUAUUAAAGAAGGAUAGGGCAAGAUGCUCUCCAUAUGAUUCUAAAAUCACCAAGGUCAAAAGAUUCUCAAGUUUAUUACACGAAUUUGCUAGUCUGAUCUCUGUGAAUGAAAAUAUGAAACAUCAUUAAAGAGAAACAACAAAAAAGGACUUAAUAUCAGACACAUGAAUGAUACCAUCAUCGGCGGCCAUCGAUACUAUCAAGGUUUCGGCGGAAGAGUAUGUUUGGAAACGGUUGUAAUAUUCCACGAUCCGAAUAAGGUAAAACCGGAUCCUUUAGGGUCCGCGUGUUUUGACUUCUUCAGAUUACUUGUUUGCCCUCGAUAUAGUUUUUUCUUUGUCUUCCUUUU
This is a long non-coding RNA of Camelina sativa (false flax), 1192 nucleotides long. RefSeq lists it as uncharacterized. The record is from RefSeq and is a predicted model, not a curated record. NCBI's taxonomy places the organism in Eukaryota, Viridiplantae, Streptophyta, Magnoliopsida, Brassicales, Brassicaceae.